RNAcentral lists this unclassified non-coding RNA (210 nucleotides) under Glomeraceae sp. RNAcentral's name for it is "partial contains 5.8S ribosomal RNA and internal transcribed spacer 2". The stretch from base 1 to 65 matches the Rfam family "5.8S ribosomal RNA", at positions 84 to 154 of the family's 154-position model. Lineage: Eukaryota; Fungi; Glomeromycota; Glomeromycetes; Glomerales; Glomeraceae. The record is from RNAcentral.
GUGAAUCAUCAAAUCUUUGAACGCAAAUUGCACUCUCCUCGGAGAGUAUGCCUGUUUGAGGGUCAGCCUAUAAAAUAUCGACAUCGUUGCUGUUUCGCGGUGGCGUUCGUCGGACAUUGGGUUAUCUUUAAUCUUUUGGUCUUAAGCGACUUAAAAUUUUUUUUUUUGCUCCACUCAAUUUUCUAAUGAUUCUUUUUUUUACUCGUUUAC